Periophthalmus magnuspinnatus is the source of this 193-nucleotide long non-coding RNA. RefSeq lists it as uncharacterized. NCBI's taxonomy places the organism in Eukaryota, Metazoa, Chordata, Actinopteri, Gobiiformes, Gobiidae. The transcript has 3 exons. The record is from RefSeq and is a predicted model, not a curated record.
GUGUGUGUGUGUAUGUGUGUGUGUGUGUGUGUGUUCAUCUGCAUGUGUGUGUGUAUGUGUGUGUGUGUGUGUGUGUGUGUGUGUGUGUGUGUGUGUGUGUGUGUGUGUGUGUGUGUGUGGGCAUGUGUGAGUGUGUGUGUGUAUGUGUGUGUGUGAGUGUAGGGGUGUGUCUGUGAGUGUAUGUGUGUGUGUG